Molecule: transfer RNA, 95 nt
Filed under: Polyporus arcularius HHB13444
Lineage: Eukaryota; Fungi; Basidiomycota; Agaricomycetes; Polyporales; Polyporaceae
Rfam family: tRNA
About the family: Transfer RNA (tRNA) molecules are approximately 80 nucleotides in length. Their secondary structure includes four short double-helical elements and three loops (D, anti-codon, and T loops). Further hydrogen bonds mediate the characteristic L-shaped molecular structure. tRNAs have two regions of fundamental functional importance: the anti-codon, which is responsible for specific mRNA codon recognition, and the 3' end, to which the tRNAs corresponding amino acid is attached (by aminoacyl-tRNA synthetases). tRNAs cope with the degeneracy of the genetic code in two manners: having more than one tRNA (with a specific anti-codon) for a particular amino acid; and 'wobble' base-pairing, i.e. permitting non-standard base-pairing at the 3rd anti-codon position.
Source: Rfam by way of RNAcentral
GCCCGCCUAGCUCAAUCGGAUAGAGCGUCAGACUCUUAACUUCGUUGUGAGAGUGCGGGAUCUGAAGGCUGCGAGUUCGACCCUCGCGGUGGGCU